This 204-nucleotide ribosomal RNA is filed under the name uncultured bacterium. RNAcentral's name for it is "partial 16S ribosomal RNA". It matches the Rfam family "Bacterial small subunit ribosomal RNA", at positions 524 to 727 of the family's 1533-position model. The record is from RNAcentral.
GACAGAGGGUGCAAACGUUGUUCGGAAUUACUGGGCGUAAAGCGCGUGUAGGCGGCUAAGUAAGUCGGGCGUGAAAUCCCACGGCUCAACCGUGGAAGUGCACUCGAAACUGCAUAGCUAGAGUCCUGGAGAGGAAGGUGGAAUGCUUGGUGUAGAGGUGAAAUUCGUAGAUAUCAAGCGGAACACCGGUGGCGAAGGCGGCCU